This 468-nucleotide ribosomal RNA is filed under the name uncultured bacterium. RNAcentral's name for it is "bacterial SSU rRNA". It matches the Rfam family "Bacterial small subunit ribosomal RNA", at positions 325 to 793 of the family's 1533-position model. The record is from RNAcentral.
CACUGUCACUCCUACGGGAGGCAGCAGUGAGGAAUAUUGGACAAUGGUCGGGAGACUGAUCCAGCCAUGCCGCGUGCAGGAUGACUGCCCUAUGGGUUGUAAACUGCUUUUAUACGGGAAGAAACGCACCUACGUGUAGGUGUCUGACGGUACCGUAAGAAUAAGGACCGGCUAACUCCGUGCCAGCAGCCGCGGUAAUACGGAGGGUCCGAGCGUUAUCCGGAAUCAUUGGGUUUAAAGGGUCCGUAGGCGGGCCGUUAAGUCAGGGGUGAAAGUCUGCGGCUCAACCGUAGAAUUGCCUUUGAUACUGGCGGUCUUGAGUCAUGGUGGGGUUGCCGGAACAUGUGGUGUAGCGGUGAAAUGCAUAGAUAUCACAUAGAACACCGAUCGCGAAGGCAGGUGACCAACCAUGUACUGACGCUGAUGGACGAAAGCGUGGGUAGCGAACGGGAUUAGAUACCCUGGUAG